GGUUAAUUAGUUCAAUGGUCAGAACGCCUGUUUGUGGCACAGGAGACGGCAGUUCGAUUCUGUUAUUAGCCC
This 72-nucleotide transfer RNA is filed under the name Clostridia bacterium. Its description in RNAcentral is "tRNA-His". It matches the Rfam family "tRNA". Rfam says of the family: Transfer RNA (tRNA) molecules are approximately 80 nucleotides in length. Their secondary structure includes four short double-helical elements and three loops (D, anti-codon, and T loops). The record is from RNAcentral. Lineage: Bacteria; Bacillati; Bacillota; Clostridia.